This 572-nucleotide long non-coding RNA is filed under the name Nicotiana benthamiana. Its description in RNAcentral is "long non-coding RNA (NBEN_LNC036317)". Lineage: Eukaryota; Viridiplantae; Streptophyta; Magnoliopsida; Solanales; Solanaceae. The record is from RNAcentral.
UAUCUUACAAGAUUACCAGUGUAUCAGAUGUGUGUACUUGGUAUUUGAAAAAGCAAUGAAGAGAGAAGGGUCAGUAAUGCAGCAGUAGCACAAACACAGCAACAACAGGUUCAACCACAAUAACAGCAGUAGCACAAAGCCCAGGAAAUAGAUUUCAACCAGAAAAACCAGUAGAAAAAUUCCAGCAACAACAGAACAAUGAAACAGCCAAUACGAGCACCAGAUUGACCAAACUCAAACCAGAAAUCUAUAGGGAAAGAAUUUGACCCCCAGCUAUACAAACAACAAUACAAAUGACCCAAGGAUUGGAACCAAACAACUAAACUGGACCAAGCUUACUCAAAAUAAGACCAACAACUAAAUCCCAAUGAGAUAGAAACUCACAACCAAACAGAAAAACCAGGAAAGCCAAUCUGAAAAUCAGUAGUACUAAAUGCAAUCCCCAGAAGUGGUAACAUAGUUCUGACUUUCAACAGUAAAGAAAAUGCUUCUUUUUAGUUUUUAGCUCUCAAAGAUUGAUUUUCAUGUUUUGAAAAAUUAGCCUAUCUCUCACUCUUAAGUUCUGAAAUUUU